GUGGGGAAUUUUGGACAAUGGGCGCAAGCCUGAUCCAGCAAUGCCGCGUGCAGGAUGAAGGCCUUCGGGUUGUAAACUGCUUUUGUACGGAACGAAAAGCCCUGGGUUAAUACCCUGGGGUCAUGACGGUACCGUAAGAAUAAGCACCGGCUAACUACGUGCCAGCAGCCGCGGUAAUACGUAGGGUGCGAGCGUUAAUCGGAAUUACUGGGCGUAAAGCGUGCGCAGGCGGUUUUGUAAGACAGAGGUGAAAUCCCCGGGCUCAACCUGGGAACUGCCUUUGUGACUGCAAGGCUAGAGUACGGCAGAGGGGGAUGGAAUUCCGCGUGUAGCAGUGAAAUGCGUAGAUAUGCGGAGGAACACCGAUGGCGAAGGCAAUCCCCUGGGCCUGUACUGACGCUCAUGCACGAAAGCGUGGGGAGCAAACAGGAUUAGAUACCCCUGUAGUCC
Molecule: ribosomal RNA, 450 nt
Filed under: uncultured bacterium
Lineage: Bacteria
Description: partial 16S ribosomal RNA
Rfam family: Bacterial small subunit ribosomal RNA
Source: RNAcentral